UAGGGAAUCUUCCGCAAUGGACGCAAGUCUGACGGAGCAACGCCGCGUGAGUGAAGAAGGUUUUCGGAUCGUAAAACUCUGUUGUUAGAGAAGAACAAGUGCUAGAGUAACUGUUAGCGCCUUGACGGUAUCUAACCAGAAAGCCACGGCUAACUACGUGCCAGCAGCCGCGGUAAUACGUAGGUGGCAAGCGUUGUCCGGAUUUAUUGGGCGUAAAGCGAGCGCAGGCGGUUCCUUAAGUCUGAUGUGAAAGCCCCCGGCUCAACCGGGGAGGGUCAUUGGAAACUGGGGAACUUGAGUGCAGAAGAGGAGAGUGGAAUUCCAUGUGUAGCGGUGAAAUGCGUAGAUAUAUGGAGGAACACCAGUGGCGAAGGCGACUCUCUGGUCUGUAACUGACGCUGAGGCUCGAAAGCGUGGGUAGCAAACAGGAUUAGAUACCCUGGUAGUCCACGCCGUAAACGAUGAGUGCUAAGUGUUGGAGGGUUUCCGCCCUUCAGUGCUGCAGUUAACGCAUUAAGCACUCCGCCUGGGAAGUACGACCGCAAGGUUG
This 550-nucleotide ribosomal RNA is filed under the name uncultured bacterium. RNAcentral describes it as "bacterial SSU rRNA". It matches the Rfam family "Bacterial small subunit ribosomal RNA", at positions 355 to 896 of the family's 1533-position model. The record is from RNAcentral.